This 26-nucleotide non-coding RNA is filed under the name Homo sapiens (human). Lineage: Eukaryota; Metazoa; Chordata; Mammalia; Primates; Hominidae. The record is from RNAcentral.
CAUGGGCAAAACACUUGAAUGGAAAC